Molecule: ribosomal RNA, 207 nt
Filed under: uncultured bacterium
Lineage: Bacteria
Description: partial 16S ribosomal RNA
Rfam family: Bacterial small subunit ribosomal RNA
Source: RNAcentral
CGCGUAGGCGGCGCUGCAAGUCAGGCGUGAAAUUCCUGGGCUUAACCUGGGGGCUGCGCUUGAGACUGUGGUGCUAGAGGAUGGAAGAGGGUCGUGGAAUUCCCAGUGUAGAGGUGAAAUUCGUAGAUAUUGGGAAGAACACCGGUGGCGAAGGCGGCGACCUGGUCCAUUACUGACGCUGAGGCGCGACAGCGUGGGGAGCAAACA